RNAcentral lists this ribosomal RNA (2134 nucleotides) under Ascetoderes vittatus. RNAcentral's name for it is "eukaryotic LSU rRNA". It matches the Rfam family "Eukaryotic large subunit ribosomal RNA", at positions 104 to 1874 of the family's 3401-position model. The record is from RNAcentral. Lineage: Eukaryota; Metazoa; Arthropoda; Insecta; Coleoptera; Bothrideridae.
AKAGCMCAGCACCGAAUCCCGUGGUCUUAAGGCCGCUGGGAAAUGUGGUGUUUAGAAGCGUCCGUCAUCCCGGAGCUACGCGUCGAGUCCAAGUCCAUCUUGAACGGGGCCACUACCCAUAGAGGGUGCCAGGCCCGUAGCGACCGUCGCAAGUUUCGGGAGGAUGUCUUCUGAGAGUCGGGUUGCUUGAGAGUGCAGCCCUAAGUGGGUGGUAAACUCCAUCUAAGGCUAAAUAUAACCACGAGACCGAUAGCGAACAAGUACCGUGAGGGAAAGUUGAAAAGAACUUUGAAGAGAGAGUUCAAUAGUACGUGAAACCGUUCAGGGGUAAACCUGAGAAACCCGAAAGAUCGAAGAGGGAGAUUCAUUCGCGUUUCGGUGUGCGGCUGCGAGCUUUGCGUGCGACGAACGGCGUUCGCGUCGAUCGCGUCCUUUGCCCGUAUUUGUCGUCGUCGAACGCGUGCACUUCUCCCUUAGUAGGUCGUCGCGAUCCGUUGGGCGUCGGUCUAAGGCCCGCGGUGGAGCCUACGAGCGGCGGUUUUGCCGUCUGCUUGUGGACCCGCGGUGUUUUCCCGGCCGGCUCGCUCGACGGUAUAGCUAAGGCGCGGGGUCGCCACACUUUUGGCGUCCGGCUCGCGGCAAGCACUCUCGUCGUGUCGACUUUCGGACCUGGUGCCGAAGUCGUCCGCGAGUAGGCUGUUCGCUGCGUAGUUUUCGGACAGACCUCGAUAAAAACGCCUAUCAGCGACGCUAUAGCUUUGGGUACUUUCAKGACCCGUCUUGAAACACGGACCAAGGAGUCUAGCAUGUGCGCGAGUCAUUGGGACAUAACUAAACCUAAAGGCGAAAUUAAUGUGAAGGUUCGCCUAGCGCGAACCUAGGGAAGAUGGGCGGUCCCUGGUGGCCGCCUCGCAUUCCCGGGGCGUCUCGUUCUCAUUGCGAGAAGAGGCGCACCAAGAGCGUACACGCUGGGACCCGAAAGAUGGUGAACUAUGCCUGGUCAGGACGAAGUCAGGGGAAACCCUGAUGGAGGUCCGUAGCGAUUCUGACGUGCAAAUCGAUCGUCGGAACUGGGUAUAGGGGCGAAAGACUAAUCGAACCAUCUAGUAGCUGGUUCCCUCCGAAGUUUCCCUCAGGAUAGCUGGCGCUCGUUGCGUACGAGUCUCAUCCGGUAAAGCGAAUGAUUAGAGGCCUUGGGGUCGAAACGACCUCAACCUAUUCUCAAACUUUAAAUGGGUGAGAUCUCCGGCUUGCUUGAACAUGAAGCCGCGAGAAUGUGUGGAUCAGAGUGCCAAGUGGGCCAUUUUUGGUAAGCAGAACUGGCGCUGUGGGAUGAACCAAACGCCGAGUUAAAGCGCCUAAAUCGACGCUUAUGGGAUACCAUGAAAGGCGUUGGUAACUUAAGACAGCAGGACGGUGGCCAUGGAAGUCGGAAUCCGCCAAGGAGUGUGUAACAACUCACCUGCCGAAGUUACUAGCCCUGAAAAUGGAUGGCGCUGAAGCGUCGUGCUUAUACUCGGCCGUCAGCGGCAUGUGCGGUCGUCACUUGUGGCGACCAUGAAGCUCUGACGAGUAGGAGGGUCGCGGCGGUGUGCGCAGAAGGACUGGCCGUGAGGCCGUCUGGAGCCGCCGUCGGUGCAGAUCUUGGUGGUAGUAGCAAAUACUCCAGCGAGGCCCUGGAGGACUGACGUGGAGAAGGGUUUCGUGUGAACAGCCGUUGCACACGAGUCAGUCGAUCCUAAGCCCUAGGCGAAAGCCGAUGUUGAUGUGGUGUCGUAUGUACUAAGCUUUAACUAGUCUGUGUGCUCACACCCGUCGGGCGAAAGGGAAUCCGGUUCCUAUUCCGGAACCCGGCAGCGGAACCGUCACCAAUUCGGGCCCUCGCAAGAGAGUUCGUCGGGGCAACCCAAAAGGACCCGGAGACGCCGUCGGGAGAUCCGGGAAGAGUUUUCUUUUCUGCAUGAGCGUUCGAGUUCCAUGGAAUCCUCUAGCAGGGAGAUAUGGUUUGGAACGCGAAGAGCACCGCAGUUGCGGCGGUGUCCGGAUCUUCCCCUCGGACCUUGAAAAUCCGGGAGAGGGCCACGUGGAGGCGUCGCGCCGGCUCGUACCCAUAUCCGCAGCAGGUCUCCAAGGU